AUUGAACGCUGGCGGCAGGCCUAACACAUGCAAGUCGAACGGUAACAGGAAACAGCUUGCUGUUUCGCUGACGAGUGGCGGACGGGUGAGUAAUGUCUGGGAAACUGCCUGAUGGGGGGGGAUAACUACUGGAAACGGUAGCUAAUACCGCAUAACGUCGCAAGACCAAAGAGGGGGACCCUCGGGCCUCUUGCCAUCGGAUGUGCCCAGAUGGGAUUAGCUUGUUGGUGGGGUAACGGCUCACCAAGGCGACGAUCCCUAGCUGGUCUGAGAGGAUGACCAGCCACACUGGAACUGAGACACGGUCCAGACUCCUACGGGAGGCAGCAGUGGGGAAUAUUGCACAAUGGGCGCAAGCCUGAUGCAGCCAUGCCGCGUGUAUGAAGAAGGCCUUCGGGUUGUAAAGUACUUUCAGCGGGGAGGAAGGGAGUAAAGUUAAUACCUUUGCUCAUUGACGUUACCCGCAGAAGAAGCACCGGCUAACUCCGUG
RNAcentral lists this ribosomal RNA (490 nucleotides) under uncultured bacterium. RNAcentral's name for it is "partial 16S ribosomal RNA". It matches the Rfam family "Bacterial small subunit ribosomal RNA", at positions 30 to 507 of the family's 1533-position model. The record is from RNAcentral.